GUUGUGGUGGCUCAGUGGUUAAGGCUUUGAGUAACACAUCAGAAGGUCAUGUGUUCAAAUCCCAGCACUGCCA
Molecule: non-coding RNA, 73 nt
Organism: Pangasianodon gigas (Mekong giant catfish)
Lineage: Eukaryota; Metazoa; Chordata; Actinopteri; Siluriformes; Pangasiidae
Source: the annotation of a GenBank genome assembly